Molecule: unclassified non-coding RNA, 486 nt
Filed under: Hevea brasiliensis (rubber tree)
Lineage: Eukaryota; Viridiplantae; Streptophyta; Magnoliopsida; Malpighiales; Euphorbiaceae
Source: RNAcentral
GUCAUGGGUUGGGUGUCGUGCUCAUGCAAGAAGGUGGAUCAGUUGCCUAUUUUAGUAAGGCUCUCUCUGCUAAAUCAUUAGCCAAAUAGGCAUAUACUAAAGAAAUGAUGGCCUUAGCUCUAGCCAUUAAGCACAGGAACCUUAUCUUAUGGGGCACCAAUUCAUUGUUCAAACAGACCAACGUAGCUUGAAGCACCUUUUCAGUCAACAAAUCACAAUGUUGGGUCAACAACAUUGGGUGGCGAAACUAUUGGGCCAUGAUUUCCAAAUUUUGUAUAAGCUAGGCAUUACUAACAAAGCUGCUGAUGCCUUGUCUCAUAUGGAUGAGUUGGACUACAAUGUUAUUGCUCGGCUUACUUAGGUGGAUUUCACUAAGCUGGAUGACAAAGUAGCUUAGGAUUCCAAAGUAGCUUAGGAUUCUUAUGUACAGAGCAUUAUUACUGAUCUUAUAGCCAACGAAGACUCCCACCCUUCACUCUUAUUCAG